RNAcentral lists this ribosomal RNA (468 nucleotides) under uncultured bacterium. RNAcentral's name for it is "partial 16S ribosomal RNA". It matches the Rfam family "Bacterial small subunit ribosomal RNA", at positions 28 to 507 of the family's 1533-position model. The record is from RNAcentral.
GACGAACGCUGGCGGCGUGCUUAACACAUGCAAGUCGAACGGAAAGGCCCUGCUUUUGUGGGGUGCUCGAGUGGCGAACGGGUGAGUAACACGUGAGUAACCUGCCCUUGACUUUGGGAUAACUUCAGGAAACUGGGGCUAAUACCGGAUAGGAGCUCCUGCUGCUUGGUGGGGGUUGGAAAGUUUCGGCGGUUGGGGAUGGACUCGCGGCUUAUCAGCUUGUUGGUGGGGUAGUGGCUUACCAAGGCUUUGUCGGGUAGCCGGCCUGAGAGGGUGACCGGCCACAUUGGGACUGAGAUACGGCCCAGACUCCUACGGGAGGCAGCAGUGGGGAAUAUUGCACAAUGGGCGGAAGCCUGAUGCAGCAACGCCGCGUGCGGGAUGACGGCCUUCGGGUUGUAAACCGCUUUCGCCUGUGACGAAGCGUGAGUGACGGUAAUGGGUAAAGAAGCACCGGCUAACUACGUG